AGAGUUUGAUCAUGGCUCAGGAUGAACGCUAGCUACAGACUUAACACAUGCAAGUCGAGGGGAAACGACAUCGAAAGCUUGCUUUUGAUGGGCGUCGACCGGCGCACGGGUGAGUAACGCGUAUCCAACCUGCCCACCACUUGGGGAUAACCUUGCGAAAGUAAGACUAAUACCCAAUGACGUCUCUAGAAGACAUCUGAAGGAGAUUAAAGAUUUAUCGGUGAUGGAUGGGGAUGCGUCUGAUUAGCUCGUUGGCGGGGUAACGCCACAAGGCGACGAUCAGUAGGGGUUCUGAGAGGAACGGUCCCCCANAUUGGAACUGAGACACGGUACCAAACUCCGUACGGGAGGCA
RNAcentral lists this ribosomal RNA (353 nucleotides) under uncultured bacterium. RNAcentral describes it as "bacterial SSU rRNA". It matches the Rfam family "Bacterial small subunit ribosomal RNA", at positions 8 to 350 of the family's 1533-position model. The record is from RNAcentral.